RNAcentral lists this ribosomal RNA (497 nucleotides) under uncultured bacterium. Its description in RNAcentral is "partial 16S ribosomal RNA". It matches the Rfam family "Bacterial small subunit ribosomal RNA", at positions 28 to 507 of the family's 1533-position model. The record is from RNAcentral.
GAUGAACGCUGGCGGCGUGCCUAAUACAUGCAAGUCGAGCGCACGGACGAGACGCUUGCUUCUCUGAUGUUAGCGGCGGACGGGCGAGUAACACGUGGAUAACCUACCUAUAAGACUGGGAUAACUUCGGGAAACCGGAGCUCAUACCGGAUAAUAUCUUGAUCCGCAUGGUUCAAAAGUGAAAGAUGGUAUUGCUGUCAUUUAUAGAUGGAUCCGCGCUGCAUUAGCUAGUUGGUAAGGUAACGGCUUACCAAGGCAACGAUGCAUAGCCGACCUGAGAGGGUGAUCGGCCACACUGGAACUGAGACACGGUCCAGACUCCUACGGGAGGCAGCAGUAGGGAAUCUUCCGCAAUGGGCGAAAGCCUGACGGAGCAACGCCGCGUGAGUGAUGAAGGUCUUCGGAUCUUAAGACUCUUUUAUUAGGGAAGAACAGAUGUGUAAGUAACUGUGCACAUCUUGACGGUACCUAAUCAGAAAGCCACGGCUAACUACGUG